Molecule: long non-coding RNA, 1582 nt
Organism: Chinchilla lanigera (long-tailed chinchilla)
Lineage: Eukaryota; Metazoa; Chordata; Mammalia; Rodentia; Chinchillidae
Source: Ensembl
AGGUGACAGUGGGAGCAUAAACUAGCAUAAUCUCUUUGGGGCGCAGCAGGGAAAUACACAGCAAAUAUAAAAUACAUUGUUUGGCAAUUAUUGUACCUGGAAUUCAUGUAACAGUUGUAUCUGCACAUUUGCAUAAAGUACCAUGGGUUUUAAGAAGUUCAUCACAGCAGAAGGCCAGAAAAAACGCGAAUACACCUCAGUUGGUGACUCCUAAGUCAGUUACGGUACUAGGACCCUAUACGGCCAUUUCAGAAGGAAGGGUGGUUCAGAAAAUCACCCCGUAAAAACUCCAUGUAGUUGAGGGGCCAGGUCGUCACUUCAUGCUAGAAUCGUGAGUAAAAGAAAGGGGACAAGAUAGUCACACUUUCUCAAAGUAACGAGCCGGAUCAUUAAUGCUAUGCCUGCUACUUCAACGUCCUCCAAGGCGGCUUCGCGGCGGAGCCCCCGGCCGGCGGGCGGGCUGUGGGAGGCCGGCCGCGGGGCUCCGGGCUGGUGCGCUCGCGGGGGCAGGCCGGAGCAGGGGUUCCCCAGGGGCGCCUCGGCCUUCCUGCCUCGGCCUUCCUGCCUCGGCCUUCCUUCCUGCCUCGGCCUUCCUUCCUGCCUCGGCCUUCCUUCCUGCCCGGCCUUCCUGCCUCGGCCUUCCUGCCCGGCCUUCCUGUCGGGCUUCCUGCGAGCCAGCCUGCGUCCCGCCCGCGCGAAGUACGCGGCUUUCAGCGCCGUGCCCUGCUGCGCGGGGCCCGCCGCCCGGGCUGAGCUUCCCAGACCGCGGGAAGGAGCCCCGCCCCCGCGAGCGGCUCUCCGCGGAUACCCGUGCACAGCGACGGAAGCUGACUACCGCGAUGACCUUGGAACAGCUCGGCUGUGCGGUUCUGGUAAGAAUAAGGCUUACUUCGGCCUGUGCAAUGGUGAGGAAGUGGUGUAUUCCCUGCACUUGAGCACAGGUGUAAAAGGUGCCCUGUGGUUCCGGCCUGAGACUGACGCAUCCUGCCCUGAAGAUGUCCCUUCAGCCAACAUCCUUGAGUGAAGCGCUGGGGAGAGACUGUAACCAAGCUGUGCUGUGAGCGACUAGCAGACCUUCACUUUCAGGCCACUGUGAUUUUGGGGGAGAAUCGUUUCACAACGUAAGGUAGGGGGAGCAAACUAAUACGGCAUAAUCUUAAAAAUGAUUUGCUAUCGACACCUAGAAAGUGGUUAUUAGUUAAAUUACGAGACACAUUUUUAGAUUCAUAAACUGCUAGGAAGGAGGGGAAAUGAUCUCUAAAUGAAGGGGUUGCUAAAACAAAACUAUUGAUGUUCUGAUGCUACACAUAGUACUAAAAAAAGGGAAAUGCAACAGAUGAACCUAAGACAUGUAGAGAAGAAAGUAGGUUAUUUCUUAGACGCAAGCAAGAAAAAGGGAAAUAUUAAAAAUAAAAGCAGAAUUGAGACCCAGCUAUUUGUUUUUUAGGUAUCUUCCCAGAAGAGUUAAAGACAUUAUUUUAUAGUGAUACGUGCAUUUCCAUGUUUAUAGCAACACAGUUCAUAAUAGCUAAAUCUUGGAAGUGGCCUACAUGUUUAUUAAUAGAUGAACAGAGAAAAAAAU